RNAcentral lists this non-coding RNA (47 nucleotides) under uncultured Shimia sp. Its description in RNAcentral is "SAM/SAH riboswitch". It matches the Rfam family "SAM/SAH riboswitch aptamer". The record is from RNAcentral. Lineage: Bacteria; Pseudomonadati; Pseudomonadota; Alphaproteobacteria; Rhodobacterales; Roseobacteraceae.
AUCGCCACAACGGCUUCCUGACGUGGCGAAUUACGCAUAUUGGAGCA